RNAcentral lists this transfer RNA (77 nucleotides) under Aminobacterium thunnarium. Its description in RNAcentral is "tRNA-Arg". It matches the Rfam family "tRNA". From Rfam's summary of the family: Transfer RNA (tRNA) molecules are approximately 80 nucleotides in length. Their secondary structure includes four short double-helical elements and three loops (D, anti-codon, and T loops). RNAcentral also lists the same sequence under 2 other names. The record is from RNAcentral. Lineage: Bacteria; Thermotogati; Synergistota; Synergistia; Synergistales; Aminobacteriaceae.
GCGCCUGUAGCUCAGGUGGAUAGAGCAACGGCCUUCUAAGCCGUGGGUCGCGGGUUCGAAUCCUGCCGGGCGCGCCA